CGGGGCGUAGCGCAGCUUGGUUAGCGCGCGUGAAUUGGGAUCACGAGGUCCCCGGUUCAAAUCCGGGCGCCCCGACCA
Molecule: transfer RNA, 78 nt
Filed under: Bacillota bacterium
Lineage: Bacteria; Bacillati; Bacillota
Also listed under: 4 other names
Description: Firmicutes bacterium (hot springs metagenome) tRNA-Pro
Rfam family: tRNA
About the family: Transfer RNA (tRNA) molecules are approximately 80 nucleotides in length. Their secondary structure includes four short double-helical elements and three loops (D, anti-codon, and T loops). Further hydrogen bonds mediate the characteristic L-shaped molecular structure. tRNAs have two regions of fundamental functional importance: the anti-codon, which is responsible for specific mRNA codon recognition, and the 3' end, to which the tRNAs corresponding amino acid is attached (by aminoacyl-tRNA synthetases). tRNAs cope with the degeneracy of the genetic code in two manners: having more than one tRNA (with a specific anti-codon) for a particular amino acid; and 'wobble' base-pairing, i.e. permitting non-standard base-pairing at the 3rd anti-codon position.
Source: RNAcentral